Molecule: long non-coding RNA, 338 nt
Filed under: Anas platyrhynchos platyrhynchos (common mallard)
Lineage: Eukaryota; Metazoa; Chordata; Aves; Anseriformes; Anatidae
Description: lncRNA (ENSAPLG00000020788.1)
Source: RNAcentral
CCUACCGUGUGGCUGCCUCCCGAUGUUGUUUAGUACCUGCACAGCUUGCUUUUCUCCACCAGGGAGGGAUCUCCUGGUGUUAGAAUUCACAAGAAUCAGAGGACAGAUAUCGCCUUGGCUUGUUACCCAGCUGUUGCGUAUCACCAGCACCACCUUCUGCCUGCUUCCCUGCCAGUUUACAAGCAUGUCAUCAACCACAGCAACUCAAUAGCUUCAUUCUGUGACUGGCAGGCUCAAAAUGACUGGACCUGUAAAAGUCUUGACAGCAAACAGCUAAAAGAUUUCUUUACGACUUCAGAAGGUUUGUAAAAAAUAAAUAAAUAAAAAAUUGUGAUCCA